AUGACGAGUGGCGGACGGGUGAGUAAUGCUUGGGAACUUGCCUUUGCGAGGGGGAUAACAGUUGGAAACGACUGCUAAUACCGCAUAAUGUCUUCGGACCAAACGGGGCUUAGGCUCCGGCGCAAAGAGAGGCCCAAGUGAGAUUAGCUAGUUGGUAAGGUAACGGCUUACCAAGGCGACGAUCUCUAGCUGUUCUGAGAGGAAGAUCAACCACACUGGGACUGAGACACGGCCCAGACUCCUACGGGAGGCAGCAGUGGGGAAUAUUGCACAAUGGGGGAAACCCUGAUGCAGCCAUGCCGCGUGUGUGAAGAAGGCCUUCGGGUUGUAAAGCACUUUCAGUUGUGAGGAAAAGUUAGUAGUUAAUACCUGCUAGCCGUGACGUUAACAACAGAAGAAGCACCGGCUAACUCCGUGCCAGCAGCCGCGGUAAUACGGAGGGUGCGAGCGUUAAUCGGAAUUACUGGGCGUAAAGCGCACGCAGGCGGUUUGUUAAGCUAGAUGUGAAAGCCCCGGGCUCAACCUGGGAUGGUCAUUUAGAACUGGCAGACUAGAGUCUUGGAGAGGGGAGUGGAAUUCCAGGUGUAGCGGUGAAAUGCGUAGAUAUCUGGAGGAACAUCAGUGGCGAAGGCGAC
Molecule: ribosomal RNA, 635 nt
Filed under: bacterium T478
Lineage: Bacteria
Description: bacterial SSU rRNA
Rfam family: Bacterial small subunit ribosomal RNA
Source: RNAcentral